RNAcentral lists this ribosomal RNA (497 nucleotides) under uncultured bacterium. RNAcentral's name for it is "partial 16S ribosomal RNA". It matches the Rfam family "Bacterial small subunit ribosomal RNA", at positions 28 to 507 of the family's 1533-position model. The record is from RNAcentral.
GAUGAACGCUGGCGGCGUGCCUAAUACAUGCAAGUCGAGCGAACAGACGAGGAGCUUGCUUCUCUGACGUUAGCGGCGGACGGGUGAGUAACACGUGGAUAACCUACCUAUAAGACUGGGAUAACUUCGGGAAACCGGAGCUAAUACCGGAUAAUGUAUUGAACCGCAUGGUUCAAUAGUGAAAGACGGUUUUGCUGUCACUUAUAGAUGGAUCCGCGCCGCAUUAGCUAGUUGGUAAGGUAACGGCUUACCAAGGCAACGAUGCGUAGCCGACCUGAGAGGGUGAUCGGCCACACUGGAACUGAGACACGGUCCAGACUCCUACGGGAGGCAGCAGUAGGGAAUCUUCCGCAAUGGGCGAAAGCCUGACGGAGCAACGCCGCGUGAGUGAUGAAGGUCUUCGGAUCGUAAAACUCUGUUAUUAGGGAAGAACAAAUGUGUAAGUAACUAUGCACGUCUUGACGGUACCUAAUCAGAAAGCCACGGCUAACUACGUG